GUGAAGACGUCAUUGCUCUUGCUUAAUCUGCUGCUUAAGACACAGUUGUGAUGCAGGUAUAUAUAUAUAUAUAUAUAUACACACACAUACACACGUAUAUAUAUGAAAAGGGGCGGACCCAGAAAGACUUUCCCGCUGCCAUUCCAGCCAAUCACAGCUUAAAUCACUACAGCACAACAUGAGGACAGCUCCUGAUUGGCUGGCAGGUGAAAAGGUGCAAAAGGGGCGGAGCCAGAGCGUGGAAACCUAUAAAAGGGGCGCUUGAAAGGGGCUGGCCCUGAAACCGUGACAUUAUUAGCUAGUAAGCGUGCAUUUUUUCAUUCUUUUCACUUUCACUUUUUUUCAUGUUCAGGAGGGUAAAUAGGCGUGAUUGGGAAGACCCACCUGAUGCGUGGCGGAUGAUUUGGACCCCUGGACCUGAUCGAGCCCCCGGCAGGGUGCAUUACGUAUCACACAGUGGGGACUUUAAGAUCAAGUUUCCACACUAUGAGAGCUUGGAGGAGCUGCAGGAAAUGCUGUUCAAGAAGUACAUAUGCAGAGGCAGGCUGCUGUCAAGAAUUCGUGCCUACAGAAUGAAUGGGCCUUCUGAUACUACCUUUUCAAUUUGGCAUGAAAUGUUCACCUGGAGGGCAGAUGGCUGGGAGUGUAGCUUCACAGCUGGAGAUGAGGCUAGCGAAUUAAUGUGGACUCCCAUUUACGAUUCGCCCGUCGCGUCUGAGGACUCCAGCUCAUCUGAUGACGACAAACCUGGACCUUCUGGACAGUCCGGAGUUCAAACCCAGAGCUCAGAUCCACAGCGUGCUGAGGAUGCGGACGCUGGAUCCAGCAGUCAGGAGGAACAGAUCGUGUCGUUGAGGAGCAUAGGAACAAAUACUGGCGCUGCUGAAAAUAAAUGUUGAGGCUCCAGUUCAUCUGAU
RNAcentral lists this long non-coding RNA (917 nucleotides) under Astyanax mexicanus (Mexican tetra). RNAcentral's name for it is "lncRNA (ENSAMXG00005018061.1)". Lineage: Eukaryota; Metazoa; Chordata; Actinopteri; Characiformes; Acestrorhamphidae. The record is from RNAcentral.